UUUUAUUCAGAUAUGCUUAUGGAUAAUUAUUGUUGAUUGUCAUUGUAGAAUUGUACUCUGUAUAUAUUGCAUGUAUAAAUCAGGUAUGAAAGGCUGAUCACCUUCAUUACCAUUCGGUCCAGAUAUAUUUGUUCAUGUUUAAUACUUGUUCAGUCAAAAGUUUGUUCGUGCUAGUUCGCAAUUAUAUUGUUGAAUUAUAGCCAGCUGAUUAUUCAAAUCCUUUCAAUCAUGAUAUAUCGUUAAAUUAUUGAAUUUAAACUUGUUGGGC
Molecule: long non-coding RNA, 268 nt
Filed under: Panax ginseng (ginseng)
Lineage: Eukaryota; Viridiplantae; Streptophyta; Magnoliopsida; Apiales; Araliaceae
Description: long non-coding RNA (PGIN_LNC012324)
Source: RNAcentral